This 485-nucleotide long non-coding RNA is filed under the name Nicotiana tabacum (common tobacco). RNAcentral's name for it is "long non-coding RNA (NTAB_LNC001296)". Lineage: Eukaryota; Viridiplantae; Streptophyta; Magnoliopsida; Solanales; Solanaceae. The record is from RNAcentral.
ACCAACAUCAUAUAAAUAUUUUUUUCCCUGGGUCAAUUAUAAAUUAAGAAAAGUUUUAAUCAGAUAGGUCUUAAAACAACUAAGGAACAUUUAAUAUAUAUUUGUGGGAUAAAUUUCAACGUACCUUUCAAUAUCUGCAUAACAUUGGAGUUUCUUCUCUCUGAUCUCUCCAUCCUGUAUUUGUAUUCAAGAACAGCCAAAAAAUAUUAAAAUAAUGAUAAAGCAACAUCAAUAACAAGAAAAAGAUUUACAAAACCCAAUACCCAAAAAAAAAAAAAAAAAACUUACAGAGAUUGGGCGACGUUUAGCAAGAACUGCAGGAGAAGAUAGUAAAAGUGCUGAAAAAAUUAACAGUAGGAUAAAUUUUUGCUUAUUGUCUAUGUAAGCCAUAGCCAAUGUGAAUAAUUUGUCUUGCAAACUUGUCUUGUGAUUUGUUUGUUUAUUUGGUUACUGAUUGCUCCACUACAGAAUUGAGUUGGCAUUAG